Molecule: small nucleolar RNA, 100 nt
Filed under: Rasamsonia emersonii CBS 393.64
Lineage: Eukaryota; Fungi; Ascomycota; Eurotiomycetes; Eurotiales; Trichocomaceae
Description: A. fimigatus snoRNA Afu_298
Rfam family: A. fimigatus snoRNA Afu_298
Source: Rfam by way of RNAcentral
GCGGAUGAUUAGGUUUUUUAACCCCAAGCUUUCCCUCCCUCCGGAAAGCAAUGAAGAUCAAAAAAAAUGCAACAACGCACACUCUAAUUUUUUGAUGACG